CGGCUCGAGCGUCAGCGAGAGAGCGUUGCCGCAGGCAACGACCCGAAGGGCGAAGCGCGCAGCGCUGAGUAAUCCUUCCCCCACCACCA
This 89-nucleotide small RNA is filed under the name Escherichia coli. RNAcentral's name for it is "partial RtT sRNA". It matches the Rfam family "RtT RNA", at positions 44 to 130 of the family's 130-position model. Rfam says of the family: This family represents a bacterial cis-regulatory element known as RtT RNA. The exact function of RtT is unknown although it is thought that it may be involved in changing the cellular response in relation to amino acid starvation. The record is from RNAcentral. Lineage: Bacteria; Pseudomonadati; Pseudomonadota; Gammaproteobacteria; Enterobacterales; Enterobacteriaceae.